GCCCCAAUCUAAUUACAGACAUCCUUAUAAGGGCAAGAAGGAAGUAGAAAAAUCAAAGACAAAGAUUUGGAGACGCUUUGCUGAUGACUUUGAAGAUGGAAGAAAGAGUUAGGAGGUUAAAAUUCAAACUAAGUAAGCAAGAGAAGUUAAGACCCAGUGUGCAUCCUGAGACGACAGGAAAGUACUUUCCACAUUUAACCAACUCCACUCAGCAAGCUUUACUGCUACAAACCAACCUGUUGCAGAAAAAUGGAGACAAGAGAAAGAGACAAAGAAUUGGAAGAAAGUUUACCAUAGCAACAAAACUUCUUCAAGUAGAAUGGAGGUGGGCUUGAACCAAGUUCCUGUGCAUGAAAAAGGAGGCACACUCCCCACUUUAGCUGUCUUCCCAGUUCAGUUACACUGAUUUUAAUCAUUUCACAUCUAAAAUUAAUAGAUACUCAGUGAUAGAAAAUUGUCUCUCCAGAAGAAUAAGAUUAAAAGCAAUAAGAAAAGUUUCAUUCAAAGAAAAUCAA
Erinaceus europaeus (western European hedgehog) is the source of this 515-nucleotide long non-coding RNA. RefSeq lists it as uncharacterized. NCBI's taxonomy places the organism in Eukaryota, Metazoa, Chordata, Mammalia, Eulipotyphla, Erinaceidae. The record is from RefSeq and is a predicted model, not a curated record. The transcript has 3 exons.